GCUCCGGUAGUAUAGCCCGGUCAAGUAUGACGGCCUCUCGAGCCGCCGACGCGGGUUCAAAUCCCGCCCGGAGCA
Molecule: transfer RNA, 75 nt
Filed under: Candidatus Bathyarchaeota archaeon
Lineage: Archaea; Thermoproteati; Candidatus Bathyarchaeota
Also listed under: 1 other name
Description: tRNA-Glu
Rfam family: tRNA
About the family: Transfer RNA (tRNA) molecules are approximately 80 nucleotides in length. Their secondary structure includes four short double-helical elements and three loops (D, anti-codon, and T loops).
Source: RNAcentral